CAGUAGCCGCGGGAAUACGAAGGGGGCUAGCGUUGCUCGGAAUGACUGGGCGUAAAGGGCGCGUAGGCGGAUGGCACAGUCAGAUGUGAAAUUCCCGGGCUUAACCUGGGGGCUGCAUUUGAUACGUGUUGCCUAGAGUGAGGAAGAGGGUCGUGGAAUUCCCAGUGUAGAGGUGAAAUUCGUAGAUAUUGGGAAGAACACCGGUGGCGAAGGCGGCGACCUGGUCCUUUACUGACGCUGAGGCGCGAAAGCGUGGGGAGCAAACAGGAUUAGAUACCCCUGUAGUCCCUGUCUCUUAUAC
This 301-nucleotide ribosomal RNA is filed under the name uncultured bacterium. Its description in RNAcentral is "partial 16S ribosomal RNA". It matches the Rfam family "Bacterial small subunit ribosomal RNA", at positions 509 to 807 of the family's 1533-position model. The record is from RNAcentral.